RNAcentral lists this ribosomal RNA (32 nucleotides) under Pratylenchus vulnus (walnut meadow nematode). Its description in RNAcentral is "partial 18S ribosomal RNA". RNAcentral also lists the same sequence under 3 other names. Lineage: Eukaryota; Metazoa; Nematoda; Chromadorea; Rhabditida; Pratylenchidae. The record is from RNAcentral.
GUUUCCGUAGGUGAACCUGCUGCUGGAUCAUU